GUUUACAACCAUACCACUCCGAACAUGCCCAGUCUCAUCUAUUCUUGGAAGUUAAGCAGGGUCUGGCCUGGUUAAUACCUGGAUAAGAGAUUCCAAAAUCUGUCCUUUAAUUG
Molecule: ribosomal RNA, 113 nt
Filed under: Jaculus jaculus (lesser Egyptian jerboa)
Lineage: Eukaryota; Metazoa; Chordata; Mammalia; Rodentia; Dipodidae
Source: RNAcentral